CCCAUGGAAAUCAAGUUGGGGAUUUGCAUGACUAUUGAUCCAAUCAAUCACUGGGAGCAGUGCAGAGCGGAUAGACCCAUGCCUCACAGUCCUCAACUGAGCAUUUAAACCAGCCACCAAACGAUUCCAGACAGAUGGUGGGACAUGCUGUCCAAGAAGAUUGGUCAGCAAUGAGUCACUAUGAAGACUAUAAGGUGACAUAUAGCUCCCAUCCCCACCAAAAAUUAUGCACAUAGGGAAUCUCUUUUUUAUUAUAGAUACAAUAU
RNAcentral lists this unclassified non-coding RNA (266 nucleotides) under Hevea brasiliensis (rubber tree). Lineage: Eukaryota; Viridiplantae; Streptophyta; Magnoliopsida; Malpighiales; Euphorbiaceae. The record is from RNAcentral.